AAAUAUGAGCAGGGUUGCACCGGUGAGCAUCGCGUACAUGGCAUCCUCCAGACUGACAGGCGCCGAUUGUAGCCGAUAGCCACAUCUCUGUGGCUACGAUU
This 101-nucleotide small RNA is filed under the name Pseudomonas aeruginosa PAK. Its description in RNAcentral is "potential small RNA". The record is from RNAcentral. Lineage: Bacteria; Pseudomonadati; Pseudomonadota; Gammaproteobacteria; Pseudomonadales; Pseudomonadaceae.